GACCUGCAGGUCAUAGUGAUUCAGUUCGCUCUUCGCCUCCCAGGCACAGGAGACACCAAACAAAUAAUAUCAAUACCAAAAUGAUGCAGUAUAAUUUAUAUGAUCAUGAUUGAGUGCCGGUGAUAGUGAGAAAACUAUUCACAUUGCAGGUACACUCACGCCUCAGUCACAAUCCACGAAACCACUCCAAACGGACCAACGGUAUGCCAUUGGUAAUAAUGUUAUAGCUUUGAUUGGUAAGCAGAAGGCUUCAUUGGUGUGACAGUGGCAUUACCCACAGAAUGAUUGUGCUUGGCAAGGCUAUAAAAACAAAAGAAUCAAAUUAGAAUAAAUAAAAUCACAAUUAUAAAUAAAAACAACAUUUAAAUGCUUCAAAACAACUUCGAAAUAUCUAAAAUAUCCAUUACUCUUGGGCUUUACUCUAUCAUUCCAGAAUAAAAAAAGGAGGAAAAAUAAGACAGACAAAAUUAUGAAAAUGUGAAAUAAAUUGUGUCAAUUAUAGGGAAACUAUGAAUUUUUGAAAUGUACAUUCACUACAUCCAAGUGAAUUUCAUAUUUUGGUCCAUGUUAUUUGAUGUACAUCUAUUAAAGCAACAAACUUCGCUGUCCAAUCUUCUAAAGUGGUAUAUUUAUGUUCCACCCUAUUAUAGACUAAUAAUAUCAUAUCAAAUGCAAGUCCAAACUGCUCAAUUUUAAUUGGUUGAAAACAAAAUGUAGUUGUUAUUGGGAAUUGUAGUCGAUUGCGACUCAUUCUGAUACAAGCCCAAGAAAAACAUGACCAUGUUGUAUAGCCCUUUGAAUGAAAAAAGCAGUACUGCAUUUAUAUCUCACAACAUGGAAAAUGUAAAAAGUAGUAUUUUGUAAUUAACGAGAGAUAUUUCAAAAAGUAAUGUGCAUAUUUGAUUUUCUCAGUCACAGUGAAAAACUAGUCAUUCAACGCCCCCUCCAUUCUAUACAAACAAAUUAUCGUUGAAUUUCAUGACAUGGGUAUUAAUAGUCCAAAAGCAGCCAGAUACCAUAUCUUGGCGCAUUAUAAAUAUCUGGAUAAUCAUUGGGUGUUUUCAAGUUCAGUGUUGACCUUCUGGUGUUGGUGUUAGGUCAAUUUUUACACGAUUGUAACACCAAACAUAAAAUGAAGAUGGUCCCGAAAAGUCACUCACUAGCUAAUGAGAUGUCAAUAAUGUGAUCUGGAUCAGUUUUACAAACUCUAGAGCUAGGGGGAAGCAAUCAAAAUUUCAACACCAGCACCAAGGCCAACACCAGACUUGAAAUCACCCAUUUUCUUCAUUAUCAUUAUCUGCAAUCUCAUGAAAGUGUUCUCCACCCAAUGUUUCAUACAUUUAUGCAUCAGUAUUUAUACAUUAUUUGCAAUGAAUUGAAAAUACAGUCAAAAUUGAAAUUGAAAUAGAAAUUAGGAUUUAAUUUGCUGGACCCCAGUUUUACAAAAUGCGUUCUCUAAAAGAAAUGCUAGAAGUACAUGACAAAUGUGUUAUUACCUGAUCAAAUUAAAGGAUUACAGUAUCUUAUAAAUUUUAGGAGCAUUAGAACUCUAAGCGAACAAGAAAACAAGAGACAAAACAUUUCAGGAAAGUCCAUACAUGUAUAUAAAGGUCCGAAUUCACAAAGGGUCCGAUGUACACACUAAGUCAUUACACAGCGGCAACCGAGAUCCAAAAAUUGGAAACUUCAUUUGCAAUACGAUUGAUGGCCUUUUACCAAUACAACAGUGUUGAAACUACACAAAUACAAGAGACUACGCUGAACAGAAAUCUUAAUAGUGAAUAAAAUACAGAUUCAUGAACACUGAUGAUGAUUGAUAUUAAACGUACGGAAAUCACAGACAAAUACACUUAUCUUAUG
Molecule: long non-coding RNA, 1860 nt
Organism: Lytechinus variegatus (green sea urchin)
Lineage: Eukaryota; Metazoa; Echinodermata; Echinoidea; Temnopleuroida; Toxopneustidae
Exons: 2
Source: RefSeq, a predicted model, not a curated record